This 465-nucleotide ribosomal RNA is filed under the name uncultured bacterium. Its description in RNAcentral is "partial 16S ribosomal RNA". It matches the Rfam family "Bacterial small subunit ribosomal RNA", at positions 28 to 507 of the family's 1533-position model. The record is from RNAcentral.
GACGAACGCUGGCGGCGUGCUUAACACAUGCAAGUCGAACGGAAAGGCCCUGCUUGCAGGGUACUCGAGUGGCGAACGGGUGAGUAACACGUGGGUGAUCUGCCCUGCACUUCGGGAUAAGCCUGGGAAACUGGGUCUAAUACCGGAUAGGAGCCAUCCUUAUUGUGAGGGUUGGAUAGUUUUUUCGGUGUAGGAUGAGCUCGCGGCCUAUCUGCUUGGUGGUGGGGUAAUGGCCUACCAAGGCGGCGACGGGUAGGCGGCCUGGGAGGGUGGACGGCCACAUUGGGACUGGGAUACGGGCCAGACUCCUACGGGAGGCAGGCGUGGGGAAUAAUGCACAAUGGGGGGAAGGCUGAUGCAGCGAAGCCGCGUGGGGGGUGACGGCCUUCGGGUUGUAAACUCCUUUCGCCAGGGAAGAAGGUGUUUGUGACGGUAACUAGAUAAGAAGCACCGGCUAACUACGUG